RNAcentral lists this ribosomal RNA (292 nucleotides) under uncultured bacterium. RNAcentral's name for it is "partial 16S ribosomal RNA". It matches the Rfam family "Bacterial small subunit ribosomal RNA", at positions 505 to 796 of the family's 1533-position model. The record is from RNAcentral.
GUGCCAGCAGCCGCGGUAAGACAGAGGGUGCAAACGUUGCUCGGAAUCACUGGGCGUAAAGGGCGUGUAGGCGGAUAGAUAAGUCGGGCGUGAAAGCCCCAGGCUCAACCUGGGAACUGCACUCGAAACUGUUUAUCUUGAGUGCCGGAGAGGAAAGCGGAAUUCCUGGUGUAGAGGUGAAAUUCGUAGAUAUCAGGAGGAACACCAGUGGCGAAGGCGGCUUUCUGGACGGUAACUGACGCUGAGACGCGAAAGCGUGGGGAGCAAACAGGAUUAGAUACCCGGGUAGUCC